AUCCAGCUGACGAGUCUUAAAUGGGACGAAACGCGCAUCCUGGAU
RNAcentral lists this non-coding RNA (45 nucleotides) under Schistosoma margrebowiei. The record is from RNAcentral. Lineage: Eukaryota; Metazoa; Platyhelminthes; Trematoda; Strigeidida; Schistosomatidae.